GUGGAUCACAUGGUGUAGGAAAAUCAAAGUUGAAAACUUCAGUUAUCAAACUCCUAGAAGAUGAGGGUAUCGAAUGGAGUGAAGAGAAUCGGGGAACCAUACUGAUCAAGCUCAGUGGCUACAGAGAGUUCAACUUUCUGGAUUCUCAUAGCGACACUGAGUAAGAUUUCUUAUUCAUUGACAAUGUCCAUUACUUGAUGUAGUUAGUAGCGCAUUGAUGAAG
Molecule: unclassified non-coding RNA, 223 nt
Filed under: Hevea brasiliensis (rubber tree)
Lineage: Eukaryota; Viridiplantae; Streptophyta; Magnoliopsida; Malpighiales; Euphorbiaceae
Source: RNAcentral